Molecule: non-coding RNA, 73 nt
Organism: Salmo salar (Atlantic salmon)
Lineage: Eukaryota; Metazoa; Chordata; Actinopteri; Salmoniformes; Salmonidae
Source: Rfam
GUCUUUGUGGCUCAGUUGGUAGAGUAUGGCACUUGCAAUGCCAGGGUUGUGGGUUCGAGUCCCACGGGGGACC